GCCCGGAUAGCUCAGUCGGUAGAGCGUGAGGCUUUUAAGAACCUUAAGGCCGUGGGUUCGAGCCCCACUCCGGGC
RNAcentral lists this transfer RNA (75 nucleotides) under Rhizophagus clarus. RNAcentral's name for it is "tRNA-Lys". It matches the Rfam family "tRNA". From Rfam's summary of the family: Transfer RNA (tRNA) molecules are approximately 80 nucleotides in length. The record is from RNAcentral. Lineage: Eukaryota; Fungi; Glomeromycota; Glomeromycetes; Glomerales; Glomeraceae.